UGGGGAAUAUUGGGCAAUGGGCGCAAGCCUGACCCAGCAACGCCGCGUGAGGGAAGAAGGCCUUCGGGUUGUAAACCUCUGUCCUUGGUGACGAAACAAAUGACGGUACCUGAGGAGGAAGCCCCGGCUAACUACGUGCCAGCAGCCGCGGUAAUACGUAGGGGGCGAGCGUUGUCCGGAAUGACUGGGCGUAAAGGGCGCGUAGACGGCUGUCUAAGUCUGGAGUGAAAGUCCUGCUUUCAAGGUGGGAAUUGCUUUGGAGACUGGAUGGCUUGAGUGCGGAAGAGGUAAGUGGAAUUCCCAGUGUAGCGGUGAAAUGCGUAGAGAUUGGGAGGAACACCAGUGGCGAAGGCGACUUACUGGGCCGUAACUGACGUUGAUGCGCGAAAGCGUGGGGAGCGAACA
RNAcentral lists this ribosomal RNA (405 nucleotides) under uncultured prokaryote. Its description in RNAcentral is "bacterial SSU rRNA". It matches the Rfam family "Bacterial small subunit ribosomal RNA", at positions 355 to 774 of the family's 1533-position model. The record is from RNAcentral.